CGGCGACCGGCGCACGGGUGAGUAACGCGUAUCCAACCUUCCAUACACUCAGGGAUAGCCUUUCGAAAGAAAGAUUAAUACCUGAUGGUAUGAUGAGAUUGCAUGAUAGCAUCAUUAAAGAUUUAUCGGUGUACGAUGGGGAUGCGUUCCAUUAGGUAGUAGGCGGGGUAACGGCCCACCUAGCCAACGAUGGAUAGGGGUUCUGGGAGGAAGGUCCCCCACAUUGGAACUGAGACACGGUCCAAACUCCUACGGGAGGCAGCAGUGAGGAAUAUUGGUCAAUGGACGAGAGUCUGAACCAGCCAAGUAGCGUGAAGGAUGAAGGUCCUACGGAUUGUAAACUUCUUUUAUAAGGGAAUAAACCCUCCCACGUGUGGGAGCUUGUAUGUACCUUAUGAAUAAGCAUCGGCUAACUCCGUGCCAGCAGCCGCGGUAAUACGGAGGAUGCGAGCGUUAUCCGGAUUUAUUGGGUUUAAAGGGAGCGCAGACGGGUCGUUAAGUCAGCUGUGAAAGUUUGGGGCUCAACCUUAAAAUUGCAGUUGAUACUGGCGUCCUUGAGUGCGGUUGAGGUGUGCGGAAUUCGUGGUGUAGCGGUGAAAUGCUUAGAUAUCACGAAGAACUCCGAUUGCGAAGGCAGC
RNAcentral lists this ribosomal RNA (638 nucleotides) under uncultured bacterium. RNAcentral describes it as "bacterial SSU rRNA". It matches the Rfam family "Bacterial small subunit ribosomal RNA", at positions 89 to 725 of the family's 1533-position model. The record is from RNAcentral.